Molecule: ribosomal RNA, 1552 nt
Filed under: Staphylococcus aureus
Lineage: Bacteria; Bacillati; Bacillota; Bacilli; Caryophanales; Staphylococcaceae
Description: 16S ribosomal RNA
Rfam family: Bacterial small subunit ribosomal RNA
Source: RNAcentral
UUUAUGGAGAGUUUGAUCCUGGCUCAGGAUGAACGCUGGCGGCGUGCCUAAUACAUGCAAGUCGAGCGAAUGGACGAGAAGCUUGCUUCUCUGAUGUUAGCGGCGGACGGGUGAGUAACACGUGGAUAACCUACCUAUAAGACUGGGAUAACUUCGGGAAACCGGAGCUAAUACCGGAUAAUAUUUUGAACCGCAUGGUUCAAAAGUGAAAGACGGUCUUGCUGUCACUUAUAGAUGGAUCCGCGCUGCAUUAGCUAGUUGGUAAGGUAACGGCUUACCAAGGCAACGAUGCAUAGCCGACCUGAGAGGGUGAUCGGCCACACUGGAACUGAGACACGGUCCAGACUCCUACGGGAGGCAGCAGUAGGGAAUCUUCCGCAAUGGGCGAAAGCCUGACGGAGCAACGCCGCGUGAGUGAUGAAGGUCUUCGGAUCGUAAAACUCUGUUAUUAGGGAAGAACAUAUGUGUAAGUAACUGUGCACAUCUUGACGGUACCUAAUCAGAAAGCCACGGCUAACUACGUGCCAGCAGCCGCGGUAAUACGUAGGUGGCAAGCGUUAUCCGGAAUUAUUGGGCGUAAAGCGCGCGUAGGCGGUUUUUUAAGUCUGAUGUGAAAGCCCACGGCUCAACCGUGGAGGGUCAUUGGAAACUGGAAAACUUGAGUGCAGAAGAGGAAAGUGGAAUUCCAUGUGUAGCGGUGAAAUGCGCAGAGAUAUGGAGGAACACCAGUGGCGAAGGCGACUUUCUGGUCUGUAACUGACGCUGAUGUGCGAAAGCGUGGGGAUCAAACAGGAUUAGAUACCCUGGUAGUCCACGCCGUAAACGAUGAGUGCUAAGUGUUAGGGGGUUUCCGCCCCUUAGUGCUGCAGCUAACGCAUUAAGCACUCCGCCUGGGGAGUACGACCGCAAGGUUGAAACUCAAAGGAAUUGACGGGGACCCGCACAAGCGGUGGAGCAUGUGGUUUAAUUCGAAGCAACGCGAAGAACCUUACCAAAUCUUGACAUCCUUUGACAACUCUAGAGAUAGAGCCUUCCCCUUCGGGGGACAAAGUGACAGGUGGUGCAUGGUUGUCGUCAGCUCGUGUCGUGAGAUGUUGGGUUAAGUCCCGCAACGAGCGCAACCCUUAAGCUUAGUUGCCAUCAUUAAGUUGGGCACUCUAAGUUGACUGCCGGUGACAAACCGGAGGAAGGUGGGGAUGACGUCAAAUCAUCAUGCCCCUUAUGAUUUGGGCUACACACGUGCUACAAUGGACAAUACAAAGGGCAGCGAAACCGCGAGGUCAAGCAAAUCCCAUAAAGUUGUUCUCAGUUCGGAUUGUAGUCUGCAACUCGACUACAUGAAGCUGGAAUCGCUAGUAAUCGUAGAUCAGCAUGCUACGGUGAAUACGUUCCCGGGUCUUGUACACACCGCCCGUCACACCACGAGAGUUUGUAACACCCGAAGCCGGUGGAGUAACCUUUUAGGAGCUAGCCGUCGAAGGUGGGACAAAUGAUUGGGGUGAAGUCGUAACAAGGUAGCCGUAUCGGAAGGUGCGGCUGGAUCACCUCCUUU